RNAcentral lists this unclassified non-coding RNA (290 nucleotides) under Hevea brasiliensis (rubber tree). The record is from RNAcentral. Lineage: Eukaryota; Viridiplantae; Streptophyta; Magnoliopsida; Malpighiales; Euphorbiaceae.
UGAUUGUUGGGAUUCCUUGCUCUGGAGGAUUAUCUAUAGCUGCAUCAAAUUCGUUCUGCCAGGCUUCAUUGUAAUGGGUUGGACCAUUACCUACUUGCAAGGGAGCCACAGGAACCUGGGGAGCGAACAAGAUCGGGGAUCGGAACUUCCCAGGGCUAUGAGGAGGAGUAUUUCCCAUCGAAUCUGAAGAAACAACGUUACUAGUUUCACUAGUCACCGAACUGUCAAUUGCCGGACUUUGUCCAUCGACGUCGGCUAUUCCUCCGGCUGCUGGGAAGUUCCGAUCCCCG